GCAAGUCGAGCGGAAACGAGAAUAGCUUGCUAUUCGGCGUCGAGCGGCGGACGGGUGAGUAAUGCUUGGGCAUAUGCCUUUGAGUUGGGGACAACAGUUGGAAACGACUGCUAAUACCGCAUAAUGUCUACGGACCAAAGGGGGGGAUCUUCGGACCUCUCGCGUCAAGAUAUGCCUAGGUGGGAUUAGCUAGUUGGUGAGGUAAUGGCUCACCAAGGCGACGAUCCCUAGCUGGUCUGAGAGGAUGAGC
RNAcentral lists this ribosomal RNA (250 nucleotides) under uncultured bacterium. RNAcentral's name for it is "partial 16S ribosomal RNA". It matches the Rfam family "Bacterial small subunit ribosomal RNA", at positions 57 to 305 of the family's 1533-position model. The record is from RNAcentral.